Molecule: ribosomal RNA, 356 nt
Filed under: Thauera sp. R-28206
Lineage: Bacteria; Pseudomonadati; Pseudomonadota; Betaproteobacteria; Rhodocyclales; Zoogloeaceae
Description: bacterial SSU rRNA
Rfam family: Bacterial small subunit ribosomal RNA
Source: RNAcentral
GUGGCGAACGGGUGAGUAAUGCAUCGGAACGUGCCCAUGUCGUGGGGGAUAACGUAUCGAAAGGUACGCUAAUACCGCAUACGUCCUGAGGGAGAAAGCGGGGGAUCUUCGGACCUCGCGCGAUUGGAGCGGCCGAUGUCGGAUUAGCUAGUAGGUGAGGUAAAGGCUCACCUAGGCGACGAUCCGUAGCGGGUCUGAGAGGAUGAUCCGCCACACUGGGACUGAGACACGGCCCAGACUCCUACGGGAGGCAGCAGUGGGGAAUUUUGGACAAUGGGCGCAAGCCUGAUCCAGCCAUGCCGCGUGAGUGAAGAAGGCCUUCGGGUUGUAAAGCUCUUUCGGCCGGGAAGAAAUCG